UGGGGAAUAUUGCACAAUGGGCGCAAGCCUGAUGCAGCCAUGCCGCGUGUAUGAAGAAGGCCUUCGGGUUGUAAAGUACUUUCAGCGGGGAGGAAGGCGAUAAGGUUAAUAACCUUGUCGAUUGACGUUACCCGCAGAAGAAGCACCGGCUAACUCCGUGCCAGCAGCCGCGGUAAUACGGAGGGUGCAAGCGUUAAUCGGAAUUACUGGGCGUAAAGCGCUCGCAGGCGGUCUGUCAAGUCGGAUGUGAAAUCCCCGGGCUCAACCUGGGAACUGCAUUCGAAACUGGCAGGCUAGAGUCUUGUAGAGGGGGGUAGAAUUCCAGGUGUAGCGGUGAAAUGCGUAGAGAUCUGGAGGAAUACCGGUGGCGAAGGCGGCCCCCUGGACAAAGACUGACGCUCAGGUGCGAAAGCGUGGGGAGCAAACA
Molecule: ribosomal RNA, 427 nt
Filed under: uncultured bacterium
Lineage: Bacteria
Description: partial 16S ribosomal RNA
Rfam family: Bacterial small subunit ribosomal RNA
Source: RNAcentral